AUUGAACGCUGGCGGCAUGCCUUACACAUGCAAGUCGAACGGCAGCACGGGAGCAAUCCUGGUGGCGAGUGGCGAACGGGUGAGUAAUAUAUCGGAACGUGCCCAGUCGUGGGGGAUAACGCAGCGAAAGCUGUGCUAAUACCGCAUACGAUCUAUGGAUGAAAGCGGGGGAUCGCAAGACCUUGCGCGAUUGGAGCGGCCGAUAUCAGAUUAGCUAGCUGGUGGGGUAAAGGCCCACCAAGGCGACGAUGUGUAGCUGGUCUGAGACGACGACCAGCCGGACUGGAACUUAGCACCUGAACAUGCUCCUACGGGAUGCAGGAUGGGGGAAUUUUGGGCAACGAACACAAGCCUGAUCCAGCUAUACCGCGUGCAGGGUCAAGUCCUUCUGGUUGUAAACUGCUUUUGUACGGAACGGAACGGUCUGCCCUAGUUCAGGGGGCUCAUGACUGUACCGUAAGAAUAAGCACCGGCUAACUAGGGGCCAGCCGCCGCCGUAA
RNAcentral lists this ribosomal RNA (500 nucleotides) under uncultured bacterium. RNAcentral describes it as "partial 16S ribosomal RNA". It matches the Rfam family "Bacterial small subunit ribosomal RNA", at positions 30 to 523 of the family's 1533-position model. The record is from RNAcentral.